This 241-nucleotide unclassified non-coding RNA is filed under the name Hevea brasiliensis (rubber tree). Lineage: Eukaryota; Viridiplantae; Streptophyta; Magnoliopsida; Malpighiales; Euphorbiaceae. The record is from RNAcentral.
GCAUUAUAAAAAUAUGCUUCCAUCCAAGCAUACCAAGGUAUCACCCAUAGGUAUUCCUAUUAUCAGUAAAGUUUUUGUCAAGUGACAUGAAUUAUGCAGCCCACUCACCCAAACGAGGGAUAACAGGGAAUAAAAAAAUGGGAAAAGGAAGAAGAGAGAAUAGAGAAAAAUGCUCCAGGGAAAAAAACAUUCCACACAUCCAUAAGUUGCUGCCCACCUCCAAACAAUUCAAUGGUCAUAA